This 306-nucleotide ribosomal RNA is filed under the name uncultured bacterium. Its description in RNAcentral is "partial 16S ribosomal RNA". It matches the Rfam family "Bacterial small subunit ribosomal RNA", at positions 507 to 808 of the family's 1533-position model. The record is from RNAcentral.
GACAGCAGUAGCCGCGGUAAAACGUAGGUCCCGAGCGUUGUCCGGAUUUAUUGGGCGUAAAGCGAGCGCAGGCGGUUAGAUAAGUCUGAAGUUAAAGGCUGUGGCUUAACCAUAGUACGCUUUGGAAACUGUUUAACUUGAGUGCAAGAGGGGAGAGUGGAAUUCCAUGUGUAGCGGUGAAAUGCGUAGAUAUAUGGAGGAACACCGGUGGCGAAAGCGGCUCUCUGGCUUGUAACUGACGCUGAGGCUCGAAAGCGUGGGGCGCAAACAGGAUUAGAUACCCCUGUAGUCCCUGUCUCUUAUACA